AGGUGGUGCAUGGUUGUCGUCAGCUCGUGUCGUGAGAUGUUGGGUUAAGUCCCGCAACGAGCGCAACCCUCGUUCUAUGUUGCCAGCACGUAAUGGUGGGAACUCAUGGGAUACUGCCGGGGUCAACUCGGAGGAAGGUGGGGAUGACGUCAAAUCAUCAUGCCCCUUAUGUCUUGGGCUUCACGCAUGCUACAAUGGCCGGUACAAAGGGCUGCAAUACCGCGAGGUGGAGCGAAUCCCAAAAAGCCGGUCCCAGUUCGGAUUGAGGUCUGCAACUCGACCUCAUGAAGUCGGAGUCGCUAGUAAUCGCAGAUCAGCAACGCUGCGGUGAAUACGUUCCCGGGUCUUGUACACACCGCCCGUCAAGUCAUGAAAGUCGGUAACACCUGAAGCCGGUGGCCUAACCCUUGUGGAGGGAGCCGUCGAAGGUGGGAUCGGUAAUUAGGACUAAGUCGUAACAAGGUAGCCGUACCGGAAGGUGCGGCUGGAUCACCUCCUUU
This 500-nucleotide ribosomal RNA is filed under the name Wolbachia endosymbiont of Drosophila bocki. Its description in RNAcentral is "bacterial SSU rRNA". It matches the Rfam family "Bacterial small subunit ribosomal RNA", at positions 1036 to 1533 of the family's 1533-position model. The record is from RNAcentral. Lineage: Bacteria; Pseudomonadati; Pseudomonadota; Alphaproteobacteria; Rickettsiales; Anaplasmataceae.